GUAGAUAAGGGAAGUCGGCAAAACAGAUCCGUAACUUCGGGAUAAGGAUUGGCUCUAAGGGUUGGGUAUGUUGGGCCUUUGAUUGAAAGCAUCGGAGCAGGAUUGCUGCAGCGGGCAACUGCCGUGGCGAUCCAGCACCUGUUGUGGGAAGUCCUUGGCAGGCUUCGGCCGUCUGGCAUACAAUUAACAACCAACUUAGAACUGGUACGGACAAGGGGAAUCUGACUGUCUAAUUAAAACAUAGCAUUGCGAUGGCCAGAAAGUGGUGUUGACGCAAUGUGAUUUCU
RNAcentral lists this ribosomal RNA (287 nucleotides) under uncultured Chaetoceros. RNAcentral describes it as "partial Eukaryotic large subunit ribosomal RNA". It matches the Rfam family "Eukaryotic large subunit ribosomal RNA", at positions 1900 to 2199 of the family's 3401-position model. The record is from RNAcentral. Lineage: Eukaryota; Bacillariophyta; Thalassiosirophyceae; Chaetocerotales; Chaetocerotaceae.